This 269-nucleotide ribosomal RNA is filed under the name uncultured bacterium. RNAcentral's name for it is "partial 16S ribosomal RNA". It matches the Rfam family "Bacterial small subunit ribosomal RNA", at positions 524 to 794 of the family's 1533-position model. The record is from RNAcentral.
UACGUAGGGUGCGAGCGUUAAUCGGAAUUACUGGGCGUAAAGGGUGCGCAGGCGGCGUCGCAAGUCAGGCGUGAAAUCCCGGGCUUAACUGGGAACUGCACUUGAAACUACGAUGCUGGAGUAUGGCAGAGGGAGGUGGAAUUCCACGUGUAGCGGUGAAAUGCGUAGAGAUGUGGAGGAACACCGAUGGCGAAGGCAGCCUCCUGGGCCAAUACUGACGCUCAUGCACGAAAGCGUGGGGAGCAAACAGGAUUAGAUACCCUGGUAGU